CAAUGUCAACCAGUCAUUUGCUUUUUGAAAGUGUUGAAGGCUACUUGUCUGGUCGGAGAGUUAAUUUUGCACGCCUAGGCAGUGACAAUUUUUGAACAUCUCCAAAUUAAGGAGGAACCCCCCCCCCCCCCAAAAACAAACAAUAAUAAGCUGGCAAUUUUUCAAAAUGGUUACUCGAGGAUCAUUAAUGAUUCAUGUUCACAAAUCGCAGCUGGACAUCAAGCAGAAGGUGGAGCAAACCGUUUUUACGUCGGCAUGAUGUUUAUUCACCGUUGUGUCAACAGAUAUUGAUAUUUUAGUGGUAAAUGUACUUUUUUUUUUUUUGCAUCUAAAGUGUUACGGACCUUAUUCUUUUUAUUCCAUGCCGCCGGACUAUCAUUUUGACCAAACUGCCCUAAGUAAAUGCCCUCAGUGCAUCUUGAAAAGUAGUCAUGUGACCAACGAUGCACCCUCGAUGAUCAAAUUACAUCCCACGAUGCAUUGCGCCGAUAAAGGUGAAUUUUCGGGAUUUUCAACUUGCAACAAUAUGGUGUUAUAAUUUAUUUGCUAGUUCAAUAUUUAUUACCCACCAACUGUACCAGUCCACUGUAGAAAAAUCCCUAAACAAUUUUGAAUGGAUUAAAAAAAAAAAAACUAUAUACAGUAGUCCACUUUAUAAAAGUCCACAAAUAGUGAUUCGGGAGUAGCAAAGGAGUGAACAAUUCCAAACACACAUUUCUCCAGGAACCUGCCGGGCAACUUGGGGGUUGGAGGAUUCGUGCAUGCUGUUUUUACCCUCCCCCCCCCCUGCCCAAUCUCCCCUCCUCCCCCAUCAAGAGGACAUCAUUUCGAGUUGUUGUGCACCCCCCCUCACACGCCCCCCGUUCUUCCUCAGUGGCGUCUGGAGGCAAAUCCUCUGAUUUCCUGUGUCUCGACGGACUCGCAAAAGGACUUUUUUUCUUUCUUUUUUUUUUUUUUUUUUAAAGAAAGGGAUGCAAUUGCCCACCGUUUUUCUGUGAGUAAUGCUCGUCCUUUGUUUGUCCGACUGUGUGGGGAGGAGCCCGGUGUUGUUUUGUGCUGUCUGAAUGGGUCACACAACAGAAGCCUCCUCGGCCAUACUGUCCUGAAGGAGACCUUGUGCUUUCUUUCUUUUUUUUUUCUUUUCUUUUGAUUUUUAAAUGUUUUAAAAGGUUUUCCCAUGUGUCUUGAUAACGUGUCUGGGAUGUGCUUUUGGCAAAUUAUACAAAGGAUUAAAAAAAAAAAUAGAGCACACUUUUAUACACAAUGUCUCCUUUUGAAGAUGGAUUCAGAUUACACUUGACAGGGCUGUCCUGUCCGAUGUUGUUCUCACCCUGACUCUUCGACUGUGGGGUGUGCCAAUGCGGGAAUGGUUUUUGUUACUACUCCGAGUGGUGUCUGGGGACCCAAAAAAAACAAAAAAAAAAACAACUGAAAAUCAAGUGCAUGCAAGAUCCUGUAACGACCGCAUACUUUUUCACUCGAGGAAGCAGCACUUCAUCGCCACCAUGUUGAAUGACGCUUUCUUAGCCUAAUAGCGUUGCCUAAGUCAUAUCUGAAUGCUUUUGGAAAACACACUCACGCACAAUUUUUCUUUUUUUUUAGCAAUAGACCACACUGGUAUAUUUUUAUUGGGCUUUCUGAAAGCAAUGAGUGCCUUUGGCAAUCAUCCUAUUAGGCUAACGACCUUUCAAUGAGAGUGACCCAUCCCACGCAUGCAAAUAGAUACGCCCCCCUCCCCCCCAGCACCCUCCACCCUCCACCCGGCUGCAUCUUGAAAAUGGAGGAUCUUCACUCAGCCUAUCAUUUGAAUCAUGAGACGGAGAAAUUUGCUGCGGGGGUAGUUUUUUUUUUGAUUGUGUGUUUUUCACACUCGAUUGGGCCAAAGGCUCCCAACAAUUGCAUACAAUUAAAAAGUCACUUUUCCAUAAUAUGUUCCUGGUAAAAUGUAUUCAAUUUGUUUUAUUACCACAUGUUCGUGUUCAUCAUUUUAGUAUUUAAAAAAAAAAUCAACCCAUUGAUGAGUUUACUUAUGUGUGUGCACUUGUAAGCAUGCGUGUGUGUGUGUGUGUGUGUGUGUGUGUGUGUGUGUGUGUGUGCGUUGUUGUGAGCAAGUGGAUAUACUGUAAAUAAUUUUUUCUAAUUAGAAUUUAAAUACCAAGACAGACUUUUAGCCAUACUAGCUUGCCAUGGUUGUAAAUAUUUUCUAAUUUAUGUUGUAAUUUAAUGGGCUGUUUUUUUUGUGUGUGUGUAAAUAAUGGUCCCUUUUUUUUUUUUUGGUGUGUGAUUUUUAUCAUGACCUAUUUUAUAAUAAACGGGUUAGUUUUUCAAUCGAGUAGAGAGGUUAGCAAGCGGGCAGGAUAUACUUUUAGGAUUUUGGAAAUGAUGUACAGAUAAAACCAAAAAAAGAGCAGGAAAAAUAAAUACGAUUCCAGCCUGAUGCUUGA
Hippocampus zosterae (dwarf seahorse) is the source of this 2444-nucleotide long non-coding RNA. RefSeq lists it as uncharacterized. The record is from RefSeq and is a predicted model, not a curated record. The transcript is spliced from 2 exons. NCBI's taxonomy places the organism in Eukaryota, Metazoa, Chordata, Actinopteri, Syngnathiformes, Syngnathidae.